Molecule: microRNA precursor, 94 nt
Filed under: Chlorocebus sabaeus (green monkey)
Lineage: Eukaryota; Metazoa; Chordata; Mammalia; Primates; Cercopithecidae
Description: miRNA (ENSCSAG00000023201.1)
Source: RNAcentral
GGAGCUUGUUAAAAAUGCAAAUUCUCAGGCCCUGGCCCAGACCUACUGAAUCAGACUCUCUGGGAUUGGACCCCAGGAAUCUGCAUUUUAACAC